This 240-nucleotide unclassified non-coding RNA is filed under the name soil metagenome. Its description in RNAcentral is "partial contains 5.8S ribosomal RNA, internal transcribed spacer 2, and large subunit ribosomal RNA". The record is from RNAcentral.
AACCUAGCACACCUGCGGUGUGUACCUGCGGAGGGAUCAUUAUCGAGUUAGGGUCUUCUCAGGCCCGACCUCCCAACCCUCUGUUUACUAAACCGAUGUUGCUUUGGCGGGCCCGUCUCAGGACCCCGGGGGACCGUAAGACGUCCUCUGGCCCGUGCCCGCCGGUGGCCAACCUUAACAAAUUCUGAUUAAAACGUGUCACUGUCUGAAUCACAUUUUUUAAUUAAAGCAAAACUUUCA